AAGUAUAAUUAGUUGAUGUUACGUUAUUUUGAUAGUUUAUAAAGGAAAAUACGACUUAACACUUCAUAUAAGUUCAUACCUAUAUGUUAUUUGAGUGCAUCUAAAUAUUAGUCUUCAAUUUUAGUUAAGUUGUAUUGUUAACCAAGUAAUAUUUGUUGUGAGUGCAUUCGAGGUUUAAUCUUCGCUUUCUAAGAUGUCUGAAAAGGAAAAGGAGUUAAUUAAAAAACGAGGCAGUUAUAAAGGCCGUGUUACUUCGUUUGGUAAUUACUUGGACAACCUAUCACGAUCACUGGACCGUUCUCAGACAAUCAAUCUGGGCAGUCGAGUGCCGACACGGUUUCGUGUCCCAAGUGUGCCGGUGGACAUAAGCUGAAUUUUUGCCCUCAGUUCUUAAUUUUGAAUACUGAACAACGAUUGAAGCUGUUGCCAGAGUUAAAGAUCGAUGACAGCCCUUCCUACCGAAGACCUGAUGGAUUCUUCAGCGAAUCGCCUUACGCGUUACCAGCGGAUUGAACAACUCCGUCAACAUUUUUGGAGACGUUGGAGCAGAGAAUAUCUGUCGGAGUUGCAGCAGCGUGGCAAAUGGCGCGUCCCAAACAAUCCGUUGAGUAUCGGAGCUUUGGUGGCUGUGAAAGAUGACCAUUUACCACCAUUAAAGUGGAGGAUGGGCCGCAUUAUUGCAUUGCACCCAGGUCAGGAUGGAGUCAGUAGAGUUGCUGACGUGAAGACUGCCGGUGGAGUCGUUCGACGAGCGCACAACAAGAUUUGCGUGUUACCCGUUGAUAGUUAAGUUGGUUGAAAGCUAGAGCUUUCAACGCCCGGGGGUAUGUUCAGUGUUACGUGGGUACCUAUACAUACCUAUCUUUUUUUAACUACUUAGUUUUUAUGUGUCACAUCACUCAUUUUUGCUCCCUGUCUCUCAUCUGUCGAUU
This 932-nucleotide long non-coding RNA is filed under the name Pectinophora gossypiella (pink bollworm). RNAcentral's name for it is "uncharacterized LOC126381194". The record is from RNAcentral. Lineage: Eukaryota; Metazoa; Arthropoda; Insecta; Lepidoptera; Gelechiidae.